Molecule: long non-coding RNA, 1084 nt
Organism: Lemur catta (Ring-tailed lemur)
Lineage: Eukaryota; Metazoa; Chordata; Mammalia; Primates; Lemuridae
Exons: 4
Source: RefSeq, a predicted model, not a curated record
AGCAACUUACCUACAGGAAUAGACAUACAACCUCAGUUUCCUGGUUCUGGGCUGGGUCCUCUAGAUCUGUGGUUUCGGAACUAAUUCGAGAGAUUGUUAAACGUAACUUUGUUUUGUUUUGUUUAGGUACCCAUCCCCAAAAUACCAAAUCUCUGGAGUUGUCGUUUAUAUAAAGCCUCCUCAAUGUCUGGUUAAGACGAGCAUUUUCUCUUGCCCCAGUGGCUUCAACCAGAUCUUCUUGACUCUGAUUAUUUCACUCCCAGCCCCAGACACAAGACUGGGAGAAGCGUCUUUGUGUUCUCCGACAGGGAAAGGGCAAGGGCACAGCCUCUGAGAGGAUUAUGUCACAUAAACAUUCGGGACACAGUGAGCACUCGGGAAGUCAGAGACACUGGAUGGAUCACUUCCUGUUUGCAUCCAGGAGAACGUAAACCUUGUAAGCAUUGACCUCAAAGUCAACCCUGCAGAGUCACUCCCGAGAGGUCACCGCUCGCUAAUUCCCACGAUCUAACUCACUGCUCACUUGUGCGGGGAGGAGGCGCAACGUGACCAGGACCAUGUGCUAAGUGCCUGUUUCCACCCAGAGUCCCGUCUGUGUGUGAUUCCUGCAGAGGCUGCGUGACUCAGCUUCCCCAUGCAAAGCCUCCCCAAGCAGCAGGAUCCUUAAACCCAAGGAGGAUCUUCUUUUUAUCCUUUUUCCUUCUUCCUUCAGGGAAGAGAAUCAGCAAAACAGAGGGAAGGGGUUUGAGCACUUCAGGGACCCCAGACGGCUACACCUCCUCUCAACCCCCUCCGUUCCCACUGUUCCAUGUUUUCUCGAUCAGGCGAGUAAUUGGAGGUGGAAGAAGAACUGCUCUGGAAGGUGAACUCGAUCCCUUGAAAAUCUGUGGAGAAGCUGCAGACAAACCACUAAAUCUGUUUAGCAAAGUCUCUGAAGCCAAGACUGCCCUGGUUCCGUGACUAGAGGCAGGCAGAGCGUGGUGGGAACAGAAGAAUAUACGAUAUUCAGCCUCUGCUUUCUUUUCCAGAGUUACUUGACAUGGGAAGAAUAAAAGACUCAGCAUGAGUCAUUUUCUAAAGUCAC